GAUUUUAGGAUUUUAGGUCUUACUAGCAUGAUCCAUUCAUGUCUCCUAAAACUAUUGUCCUAAUCUUUGGGGUUCAUCAUAAUCUUGACAUAAUAAGAUGCAGCUAAUAUGAUAAAUCAAUGCCUCAAAUAAUAAAUAUCAUUUCAUGAGUUAGAAAAUUAUAAAGAAAAGUUCCAUCACAACACACUUGCGAUUGGCUUAUAGGGCACUCAUCUUUCAGCACACACCCAAUAGGAUCCAAGGAGGGGUUGCUAGUUGGAGGAUGGCUGAUGAUAGCUGAGGGGUGGCCGAUAAUGUGGUAACAAGUCUUAAGGAUUGAUAGGGAUUAAAUGGGACUAACCACCUUACCUACCGCAUGAGGGUGAUCUAGCUUGAUGCGAAUCAACUCAGGGAUGCG
RNAcentral lists this long non-coding RNA (397 nucleotides) under Elaeis guineensis (African oil palm). RNAcentral's name for it is "long non-coding RNA (EGUI_LNC065021)". Lineage: Eukaryota; Viridiplantae; Streptophyta; Magnoliopsida; Arecales; Arecaceae. The record is from RNAcentral.